RNAcentral lists this ribosomal RNA (305 nucleotides) under uncultured bacterium. Its description in RNAcentral is "bacterial SSU rRNA". It matches the Rfam family "Bacterial small subunit ribosomal RNA", at positions 333 to 635 of the family's 1533-position model. The record is from RNAcentral.
AAGUCCCUACGGGGGGCAGCAGUGAGGAAUAUUGGUCAAUGGGCGCGAGCCUGAACCAGCCAAGUCGCGUGAGGGAUGACGGUCCUACGGAUUGUAAACCUCUUUUGCCGGGGAGCAAGCGUGCGUUCGUGAACGCGCGUCGAGAGUACCCGGAGAAAAAGCAUCGGCUAACUCCGUGCCAGCAGCCGCGGUAAUACGGAGGAUGCGAGCGUUAUCCGGAUUUAUUGGGUUUAAAGGGUGCGUAGGCGGGAUGCCAAGUCAGCGGUAAAAAUUCGGGGCUCAACCCCGUCCGGCCGUUUAAACUG